UAAAUUUAUAACAGAAUACAAAUGUUGAUUAUACUCCGUCCAUUUCAUCAAUUCCACUAUGUUUGGUCAUUUAUCCCCUAUGAUAAUGAGUGGGUGUGUCCAAACCUAUCCAGCCCUUUGAUUGGUCCAGACAGUUUGUCUUAGUUUUUACAUCUCAUUUUUAAGAAAUAAAACGAGCACCAAAAGUAAACUAGUCAAAUUUUAUUGGCACAAUUUCCAUGAAAUGAGAUCAGUUACCGCUGUAAAUCAGAUUAAUAACAAAACAUUUGACAAUAUAUCUGUGUAAAACGUCCACUCUUAUCGUAAAGUUCCCUCAUUUUAGACUUAUGUGAUUAUAAAUUAGCACCCAGUUUUAAGCAAAAUGAUUUUACAGUGUGUAUUUUACCUUUUAAUCAGAGAGAAGCCUGAAAUAUCGGCGUGUUCCUGUUAUAUAUAUGAACUUUAAUCACAGCCCGACAUCGUUCUUAUGUCUGUAAUUCAGUUCCUGCUUUCCUGCUUUGUGUAAUAACCCUUUAAUACACUGACCCCCCCCCCCCUCACUUUUAAACACUAAACACACACGUUAGAACAUUAUUGUCAAGCGUACUGAUUUAACUACAAAUAAAAUCACAAAAAAGUCAUUUACCACAUUGCAGUUCUGUAUUAUGUAUAUAAUGUAUAUAAUGUAAGCAAAUUUUUAUUGAAAAUGUCAUUUCUAGACACUUUUUACUUGUUUUUGCGUUUUAAAUGCUCUUGUUCUAUCGCUCUUUCAUAGAUAUAAGUGCUUAAAAUGAUCUACCAACAGAACAAGAUAUCUUGCUAAAAUGUGAUUGUUUGCAGUGAAAACGAUUUCAGAGGCCGAGAUCAAUCAUUUCCUACUUCCUAUAACCAUCAUCAUCAUCAUCAUCAUCAUCAUCAUCAUCAUCAUGAGGUGCUCAUUAACACUAGACACGUUCUCCGUCUGCUUUUUCGCGUAAUCCCUGCUGAAGCUGGCGGUACUCCGCAGUGUUAGUGUCCUCGUGCCGGUCCUGAGUCACCCACUCGUCCAGGCGCGCGCGCUGGUUCUGAUCCAGGAUUCCCAUGCGGCUGUACUCCGACACCAGGUUUCUGUAUCCUGCUUUGUAGUAGCCUCGGAUACCGUCAUCGGACAACACGUGACUCUGAGACAGAACGCCUUCACCUGGACAUACACGCAAGAAUCUUAUCAGCUGCAGCAACACGACAGCUCUUUUACUCUCAGACCAUCAGUUACGCCGUGUUUAACGCCGUGUUGUAUUCCUUGUCUUGUCCACU
Molecule: long non-coding RNA, 1272 nt
Organism: Ictalurus punctatus (channel catfish)
Lineage: Eukaryota; Metazoa; Chordata; Actinopteri; Siluriformes; Ictaluridae
Source: Ensembl